Molecule: ribosomal RNA, 419 nt
Filed under: uncultured Bacillus sp.
Lineage: Bacteria; Bacillati; Bacillota; Bacilli; Caryophanales; Bacillaceae
Description: bacterial SSU rRNA
Rfam family: Bacterial small subunit ribosomal RNA
Source: RNAcentral
GAGUUUGAUCAUGGCUCAGGACGAACGCUGGCGGCGUGCCUAAUACAUGCAAGUCGAGCGGACGGAUGGGAGCUUGCUCCCUGAAGUUAGCGGCGGACGGGUGAGUAACACGUGGGCAACCUGCCUGUAAGACUGGGAUAACUUCGGGAAACCGGAGCUAAUACCGGAUAAUCCUCUUUCCCGCAUGGGAAAGAGCUGAAAGAUGGCUUCGGCUAUCACUUACAGAUGGGCCCGCGGCGCAUUAGCUAGUUGGUGAGGUAACGGCUCACCAAGGCGACGAUGCGUAGCCGACCUGAGAGGGUGAUCGGCCACACUGGGACUGAGACACGGCCCAGACUCCUACGGGAGGCAGCAGUAGGGAAUCUUCCGCAAUGGACGAAAGUCUGACGGAGCAACGCCGCGUGAGCGAAGAAGGCCUU